GCAUAUCAAUAAGCGGAGGAAAAGAAACCAACUGGGAUUGCCUUAGUAACGGCGAGUGAAGCGGCAAUAGCUCAAAUUUGAAAUCUGGCCCCUAGGGUCCGAGUUGUAAUUUGUAGAGGAUGUCUCGGUGUGGGCCCUGAUUGAAGUUCCUUGGAACAGGAUGUCACAGAGGGUGAGAGCCCCGUCCGUGGUCGGUGGCCCCUGCCGUGUGAGGCUCCUUCGACGAGUCGAGUUGUUUGGGAAUGCAGCUCUAAAUGGGAGGUAAAUUUCUUCCAAGGCUAAAUAUCAGCUAGAGACCGAUAGCGCACAAGUAGAGUGAUCGAAAGGUGAAAAGCACUUUGAAAAGAGGGUUAAAAAGCACGUGAAAUUGUUGAAAGGGAAGCGCUUGCAACCAGAGCGGUUUGGAGGGGUUCAGCCUUUGGCGCACUCCCCUCCAGUCAGGCUAGCAUCAGUUCGGCCGGUCGGAUAAAGGUCGUGGGAAUGUGGCACCCUCGGGUGUGUUAUAGCCCAUGGCACAAUACGGCCUGGCUGGACUGAGGUCCACGCUUCGGCAAGGAUGCUGGCGUAAUGGUUGUCAGCGGCCCGUCUUGAAACACGGACCAAGGAGUCUAACAUCUGUGCGAGUGUUCGGGUGUCAAACCCGUGAGCGUAAUGAAAGUGAACGGAGGUGGGAGCCCUCGGGUGCACCAUCGACCGAUCCUGAUGUCUUCGGAUGGAUUUGAGUAUGAGCAUAGCUGUUGGGACCCGAAAGAUGGUGAACUAUGCGCGGAUAGGGUGAAGCCAGAGGAAACUCUGGUGGAGGCUCGCAGCGGUUCUGACGUGCAAAUCGAUCGUCAAAUCUACGCAUAGGGGCGAAAGACUAAUCGACCAUCUAGUAGCUGGGUCUGC
Molecule: ribosomal RNA, 888 nt
Filed under: Ellismarsporium parvum
Lineage: Eukaryota; Fungi; Ascomycota; Dothideomycetes
Description: LSU rRNA
Rfam family: Eukaryotic large subunit ribosomal RNA
Source: RNAcentral